Molecule: ribosomal RNA, 468 nt
Filed under: uncultured bacterium
Lineage: Bacteria
Description: partial 16S ribosomal RNA
Rfam family: Bacterial small subunit ribosomal RNA
Source: RNAcentral
GACGAACGCUGGCGGCGUGCUUAACACAUGCAAGUCGAACGGAAAGGCCCUGCUUUUGUGGGGUGCUCGAGUGGCGAACGGGUGAGUAACACGUGAGUAACCUGCCCUUGACUUUGGGAUAACUUCAGGAAACUGGGGCUAAUACCGGAUAGGAGCUCCUGCUGCAUGGUGGGGGUUGGAAAGUUUCGGCGGUUGGGGAUGGACUCGCGGCUUAUCAGCUUGUUGGUGGGGUAGUGGCUUACCAAGGCUUUGACGGGUAGCCGGCCUGGGAGGGUGACCGGCCACAUUGGGACUGAGAUACGGCCCAGAAUCCUACGGGAGGCAGCAGUGGGGAAUAUUGCACAAUGGGCGGAAGCCUGAUGCAGCAACGCCGCGUGCGGGAUGACGGCCUUCGGGUUGUAAACCGCUUUCGCCUGUGACGAAGCGUGCGUGACGGUAAUGGGUAAAGAAGCACCGGCUAACUACGUG